AUUGAACGCUGGCGGAAUGCUCUACACAUGCAAGUCGAACGGCAGCACGGACUCCGGUCUGGUGGCGAGUGGCGAACGGGUGAGUAAUGUAUCGGAACGUGCCCAGUCGUGGGGGAUAACGUAGUGAAAAUUACGCUAAUACCGCAUACGAUCUAUGGAUGAAAGCGGGGGAUCGCAAGACCUCGCGCGAUUGGAGCGGCCGAUAUCAGAUUAGGUAGUUGGUGGGGUAAAGGCCCACCAAGCCAACGAUCUGUAGCUGGUCUGAGAGGACGACCAGCCACACUGGAACUGAGACACAGUCCAGACUCCUACGGGAGGCAGCAGUGGGGAAUGUUGGACAAUGGGCGAAAGCCUGAUCCAGCCAUUCCGCGUGCAGGAUGAAGGCCCUCGGGUUGUAAACUGCUUUUGUACAGAACGAAAAGGUUUCUACUAAUACUAGGAGCUCAUGACGGUACUGUAAGAAUAAGCACCGGCUAACUACGUGCCAGCCGCCGCCGUAA
This 500-nucleotide ribosomal RNA is filed under the name uncultured bacterium. RNAcentral's name for it is "partial 16S ribosomal RNA". It matches the Rfam family "Bacterial small subunit ribosomal RNA", at positions 30 to 523 of the family's 1533-position model. The record is from RNAcentral.